GCAUAUCAAUAAGCGGAGGAAAAGAAACUAACAAGGAUUCCCCUAGUAACGGCGAGUGAAGCGGGAAGAGCUCAAAUUUGAAAGCUGUUGCCUUUGGUAACCGCAUUGUAAUCUCGAGAUCUGUUUUCCGCGCUGGACCAUGUACAAGUCCCUUGGAAUAGGGCGUCAUAGAGGGUGAGAAUCCCGUACUUGACAUGGCCUCCCAGUGCUUUGUGAUACAGGCUCAACGAGUCGAGUUGUUUGGGAAUGCAGCUCAAAAUGGGUGGUAAAUUCCAUCUAAAGCUAAAUAUUGGGGAGAGACCGAUAGCGAACAAGUACCGUGAGGGAAAGAUGAAAAGCACUUUGGAAAGAGAGUUAAACAGUACGUGAAAUUGUCAAAAGGGAACCGUUUAAAGUUAGUCAUGCUUGCCUGGACUCAGCCUUGCUUUUGCUUGGUGCAUUUCCAGGUUAGCAGGUCAGCAUCGAUUUUGACUGCUGGAUAAGGGUGAGAGGAAUGUGGCACCUUCGGGUGUGUUAUAGCCUUUCACUGGAUGCAGCAGUUGGGACCGAGGAACGCAGCGCGCCUUUAUGGCGGACCUUCGGGUACCUUCGCGCUU
This 596-nucleotide ribosomal RNA is filed under the name Entyloma lobeliae. RNAcentral describes it as "LSU rRNA". It matches the Rfam family "Eukaryotic large subunit ribosomal RNA", at positions 38 to 608 of the family's 3401-position model. The record is from RNAcentral. Lineage: Eukaryota; Fungi; Basidiomycota; Exobasidiomycetes; Entylomatales; Entylomataceae.